UAGGGAAUCUUCGGCAAUGGACGGAAGUCUGACCGAGCAACGCCGCGUGAGUGAAGAAGGUUUUCGGAUCGUAAAGCUCUGUUGUAAGAGAAGAACGAGUGUGAGAGUGGAAAGUUCACACUGUGACGGUAUCUUACCAGAAAGGGACGGCUAACUACGUGCCAGCAGCCGCGGUAAUACGUAGGUCCCGAGCGUUGUCCGGAUUUAUUGGGCGUAAAGCGAGCGCAGGCGGUUAGAUAAGUCUGAAGUUAAAGGCUGUGGCUUAACCAUAGUAGGCUUUGGAAACUGUUUAACUUGAGUGCAAGAGGGGAGAGUGGAAUUCCAUGUGUAGCGGUGAAAUGCGUAGAUAUAUGGAGGAACACCGGUGGCGAAAGCGGCUCUCUGGCUUGUAACUGACGCUGAGGCUCGAAAGCGUGGGGAGCAAACAGGAUUAGAUACCCUGGUAGUCCACGCUGUAAACGAUGAGUGCUAGGUGUUAGACCCUUUCCGGGGUUUAGUGCCGUAGCUAACGCAUUAAGCACUCCGCCUGGGGAGUACGACCGCAAGGUG
This 549-nucleotide ribosomal RNA is filed under the name uncultured bacterium. Its description in RNAcentral is "bacterial SSU rRNA". It matches the Rfam family "Bacterial small subunit ribosomal RNA", at positions 355 to 895 of the family's 1533-position model. The record is from RNAcentral.